Molecule: ribosomal RNA, 315 nt
Filed under: Calamus viminalis
Lineage: Eukaryota; Viridiplantae; Streptophyta; Magnoliopsida; Arecales; Arecaceae
Description: eukaryotic LSU rRNA
Rfam family: Eukaryotic large subunit ribosomal RNA
Source: RNAcentral
GACCCCAGGUCAGGCGGGGCCACCCGCCGAGCUUAAGCAUAUCAAUAAGCGGAGGAGGAGAAACUUACGAGGAUUCCCCUAGUAACGGCGAGCGAACCGGGAAUAGCCCAGCUUGAGAAUCGGGCGGCUGCGCCGCUGGAAUUGUGGUCUGGGGAAGCGUCCUCAGCGGCGGACCGGGCCCGAGUCCCCUGGAAAGGGGCGCCCGGGAGGGUGAGAGCCCCGUCCGGCCCGGACCCUGCCGCACCACGAGGCGCUGUCGGCGAGUCGGGCUGUUUGGGAAUGCAGCCCCAAUCGGGCGGUAAAUUCCGUCCAAGA